This is a non-coding RNA of Arachis ipaensis, 264 nucleotides long. The record is from RefSeq and is a predicted model, not a curated record. Lineage: Eukaryota; Viridiplantae; Streptophyta; Magnoliopsida; Fabales; Fabaceae.
CUCUGUCUAUUAUACUUGAUGUGGCCUCUUGGCUUAGUCUUGACCACAACCACCCAACUAGACUUGCAUGAACCCAGAUAAGGCAAAUAGUAUACCUGUCAUGCAUUUUGAGGUAGAAUAAAAGGAUCGUAGUGCCUAUAUUUCCAUGUUACAUUAACUUCAGUGAUAUCAUAGUCCUUGUGCAUUCGUGUUCCUUGUCAUAAACUUGGAUUGUACCAUUCACAUUUAAACAUGUACACUUUGUAUGUAGUACGACAGAAAUAU